GACGAACGCUGGCGGCGUGCUUAACACAUGCAAGUCGAACGGAAAGGCCCUGCUUUUGUGGGGUGCUCGAGUGGCGAACGGGUGAGUAACACGUUAGUAACCUUCCCUUUACUUUUGGAUUACUUCAGGAAACUGGGGCUAAUACCCGAUAGGAGCUCCUGCUGCCUUGUGGGGGUUGUAAAGUUUCGGCGGUUGGGGAUGGACUCGCGGCUUAUCAGCUUGUUGGUGGGGUAGUGGCUUACCAAGGCUUUGACGGGUAGCCGGCCUUAGAGGGUGACCGGCCACAUUGGGACUGAGAGACGGCCCAGACUCCUACGGGAGGCAGCAGUGGGGAAUAUUGCACAAUGGGCGGAAGCCUGAUGCAGCAACGCCGCGUGCGGGAUGACGGCCUUCGGGUUGUAAACCGCUUUCGCCUGUGACGAAGCGUGAGUGACGGUAAUGGGUAAAGAAGCACCGGCUAACUACGUG
RNAcentral lists this ribosomal RNA (468 nucleotides) under uncultured bacterium. RNAcentral's name for it is "partial 16S ribosomal RNA". It matches the Rfam family "Bacterial small subunit ribosomal RNA", at positions 28 to 507 of the family's 1533-position model. The record is from RNAcentral.